GUGGGGAAUAUUGGACAAUGGGCGAAAGCCUGAUCCAGCCAUGCCGCGUGUGUGAAGAAGGUCUUCGGAUUGUAAAGCACUUUAAGUUGGGAGGAAGGGCAGUAAGUUAAUACCUUGCUGUUUUGACGUUACCGACAGAAUAAGCACCGGCUAACUUCGUGCCAGCAGCCGCGGUAAUACGAAGGGUGCAAGCGUUAAUCGGAAUUACUGGGCGUAAAGCGCGCGUAGGUGGUUUUGUAAGUUGGAGGUGAAAUCCCCGGGCUCAACCUGGGAACUGCCUCCAAAACUGCAUGACUAGAGUACGGUAGAGGGUAGUGGAAUUUCCUGUGUAGCGGUGAAAUGCGUAGAUAUAGGAAGGAACACCAGUGGCGAAGGCGACUACCUGGACAGAUACUGACACUGAGGUGCGAAAGCGUGGGGAGCAAACAGGAUUAGAAACCCGAGUAGUCC
This 450-nucleotide ribosomal RNA is filed under the name uncultured bacterium. RNAcentral's name for it is "partial 16S ribosomal RNA". It matches the Rfam family "Bacterial small subunit ribosomal RNA", at positions 354 to 796 of the family's 1533-position model. The record is from RNAcentral.